UCACUUUCCCAUAUGGCUACCAUGCUGGUUUUAAUCAUGGUUUCAACUGUGCAGAAUCUACAAAUUUUGCUACUGUCAGAUGGAUUGACUAUGGAAAAGUUGCCAAAUUGGAGGGCAGGGCAUGCAUGCAGCCAUGUGAACUGAGAGUGAGAGGGAAAUGGAUGAGAUGCUUAAUGUCAGAUCUAUGCCACUGCCCUCAUGCUUGACCUUGUGGCAGCCAAGCCAGAGAUGGCCAUGCGCUCCUUACCACGGUCAUUCUCAGCAGAAUCCACAUCACAUUCACCCGGAAGCCUGGGAGUAAUCUGUACCUAGGAGUCUGCAGGGCAUGACCAGCCUGCAGUACUGUGUUGACGAGGAAGAUGGCAGCCUCUUUGAUAUGAGAUAGGGCUCAUGUGCAUGUUAGGUAUAGUGGCAUGUCACUGUUGCCACUGCUCUUCUGCUACCAGGAUGGCUUGAAUGCAAUAUAGGCUGUUCCAUGUGUGCUUUCCCUCCGUUAUGAAACUUCUUCCUGUGGGGUGAGAUGCUACAGUGUGUGUCACUUUAUUCACUUGAAUCAGAAUUCAGCUUUGUAUAUUGAAUCCCAAUUUUUAUGGUUACAUCUGAAAAGAGAGAAUCACCUAUUUGAUAUUAAUUGUAGAAUCAGUCUUUGAAAUUUAUAAUCUGAAGCAUUACUAACUGCAUUAAAGAACAUUAACUGUU
Molecule: small RNA, 699 nt
Filed under: Pan troglodytes (chimpanzee)
Lineage: Eukaryota; Metazoa; Chordata; Mammalia; Primates; Hominidae
Description: processed transcript
Source: RNAcentral